GCUGCGACAGCUCAGUUGGUAGAGCAUGAGACUUUUAAUCUCAGGAUCGUGGGCUUGAGCCCCAUGUUGGGCA
This 73-nucleotide transfer RNA is filed under the name Podarcis lilfordi (Lilford's wall lizard). RNAcentral describes it as "tRNA.Lys". The stretch from base 9 to 65 matches the Rfam family "tRNA", at positions 9 to 63 of the family's 71-position model. Rfam says of the family: Transfer RNA (tRNA) molecules are approximately 80 nucleotides in length. Their secondary structure includes four short double-helical elements and three loops (D, anti-codon, and T loops). Lineage: Eukaryota; Metazoa; Chordata; Lepidosauria; Squamata; Lacertidae. The record is from RNAcentral.